GGAAUAUUGCGCAAUGGGGGGAACCCUGACGCAGCAACGCCGCGUGAGUGAAGAAGUAUUUCGGUAUGUAAAGCUCUAUCAGCAGGGAAGAAGAUGACGGUACCUGCAGAAGAAGUCCCGGCUAACUACGUGCCAGCAGCCGCGGUAAUACGUAGGGGACAAGCGUUAUCCGGAUUUACUGGGUGUAAAGGGAGCGUAGGCGGCCAGCCAAGUCAGAAGUGAAAUCCCGCGGCUCAACUGCGGGGGUGCUUUUGAAACUGGAGGGCUUGAGUACUGGAGGGGCAAGCGGAAUUCCUGGUGUAGCGGUGAAAUGCAUAGAUAUCAGGAAGAACACCGGAGGCGAAGGCGGCUUGCUGGACAGAGACUGACGCUGAGGCUCGAAGGCGUGGGGAGCAAACA
This 399-nucleotide ribosomal RNA is filed under the name uncultured bacterium. RNAcentral describes it as "bacterial SSU rRNA". It matches the Rfam family "Bacterial small subunit ribosomal RNA", at positions 358 to 774 of the family's 1533-position model. The record is from RNAcentral.